This 465-nucleotide ribosomal RNA is filed under the name uncultured bacterium. RNAcentral describes it as "partial 16S ribosomal RNA". It matches the Rfam family "Bacterial small subunit ribosomal RNA", at positions 28 to 507 of the family's 1533-position model. The record is from RNAcentral.
GACGAACGCUGGCGGCGUGCUUAACACAUGCCAGUCGAACGGAAAGGCCCCUUUGGGGGUACUCGAGUGGCGAACGGGUGAGUAACACGUGCGUAACCUGCCCUUGACUUCGGGAUAACUUCAGGAAACUGGGGCUAAUACCGGAUAGGAAUCCUUGCUGCAUGGUGGGGGUUGGAAAGCUUCGGCGGUUUUGGAUGGACUCGCGGCUUAUCAGCUUGUUGGUGGGGUAGUGGCUUACCAAGGCUUUGACGGGUAGCCGGCCUGAGAGGGCGACCGGCCACAUUGGGACUGAGAUACGGCCCAGACUCCUACGGGAGGCAGCAGUGGGGAAUAUUGCACAAUGGGCGGAAGCCUGAUGCAGCAACGCCGCGUGCGGGAUGACGGCCUUCGGGUUGUAAACCGCGUUCAGCAGGGGCGAAGCUUGUGGUGACGGUACCUGCAGAAGAAGCACCGGCUAACUACGUG